UGGGGAAUAUUGCACAAUGGGCGCAAGCCUGAUGCAGCCAUGCCGCGUGUGUGAAGAAGGCCUUCGGGUUGUAAAGCACUUUCAGCGGGGAGGAAGGCGUUAAGGUUAAUAACCUUGGCGAUUGACGUUACCCGCAGAAGAAGCACCGGCUAACUCCGUGCCAGCAGCCGCGGUAAUACGGAGGGUGCAAGCGUUAAUCGGAAUUACUGGGCGUAAAGCGCACGCAGGCGGUCAGUCAAGUCGGAUGUGAAAUCCCCGGGCUCAACCUGGGAACUGCAUUCGAAACUGGCAGGCUAGAGUCUUGUAGAGGGGGGUAGAAUUCCAGGUGUAGCGGUGAAAUGCGUAGAGAUCUGGAGGAAUACCGGUGGCGAAGGCGGCCCCCUGGAAAAAGACUGACGCUCAGGUGCGAAAGCGUGGGGAGCAAACAGG
Molecule: ribosomal RNA, 429 nt
Filed under: Chloroflexota bacterium
Lineage: Bacteria; Bacillati; Chloroflexota
Description: Chloroflexi bacterium partial 16S ribosomal RNA
Rfam family: Bacterial small subunit ribosomal RNA
Source: RNAcentral